CUCUCUCAAAUUAUAUGCAUGCCUAGCAUUCCUAUCUCAGAACGAGGCUAAGUGAGUACAGCCACCGUAGCAACGCAUACACAAUGGCUUCCAGUCAAGCUACAUGUAGCAAAAACAAACAACAUUAUUGUGCACAAAAUUGUGUAUCCAAUGGAACUUAUGGUGAUUCUAUUCAUUUUCACCAUAUUCCAAAAGAUGAGGAUAUCAAAAAGCAGUGGAUUAUAAAAAUAAGAAGAGAUGAAGGGCAAUUAUUCAAGUGAUGAGACAAUGUGUAUUGAGACACAAGUGACAGAAUAGUUUAGUAAAGAUAACACAGAAUCAGAAGAAAGCAGCACAAAAAGGAGAAAAAUAGAGACAGUGUUGGAAACAGCCAAAAACAACAUUAAAAAUCCUGAAGAACAACUGUCUGAAAAGGAGAAAGAGUUGACAUGCUUAACAUCAGCAGUUAAGCAUGGAAAACAUUUGUGUAAAUAGAUUUUCAACAGAUGAUUCUCUAAUUUCAUUCUACAUAGGGUUUCAAACAUGUUUACUUUUUCUUACCUUUUUAUGUAUACUGCUAAAAACAUGCAGAGUGCAUAUUACAAAAGUAGUGAAACUUUUAGUCUUAGUGGUAGAAAGCGUUCUAUGUUGCUCAUUGACGAGCUUUUCUUAUUUUUUUUCGCCUUUGUGCAGGAUUAUUAAAACAAGAUCUGAGUGUUUGAUUUUCAUCAAAUAUAUUUAAAACAUACUCCUUUUCUAAUUUUUGCCGAACACUCAAAAGAGAGCCUUGUGGUAUAUUACCAAAUUUUGAUUCUACCGCUAGUACGUUCAUUUGUGUUAAAGAAGAGAGAAUCAAUAAAUCAAGUGGUACUGGAGAUAGACUUCUAUACUUUGUGUCCCAUUUAACAUUUUCUCCACGAAUGGGGUUGAAUGGGGUUGUUUUCAGAUUUUGGUUAGUCGUAGACAAGUCCAGUGCGGAUUUCUGUGAUGAAUACCCGCUUAUCUUUAAAUCCUGGACAGCCUUUCCUUGGAUUUUCUCCCCUCUUGGGACUUGCCAAGUUUGUGGCCGGGAUGUCUUUGCAAUUUUAACUGGGAUAGCUCUUUGACUUAUAAUCUUGAAUUUCGCAAGCUGGUACAGCCUUACUCACUUCAAGAGUGUUGAUAUCACCUAAACUCACCUGUAAUGUAGUUAUGAUAUCCAUAUAAAUAAUUCAUUAUGUUUACUUAAUGGCAAACGUUUUAUGUCUUGGUUAUCUAUCAAAAGUGAACGACACAAAAUAAAUGCAUUGAUAUGUUUUCAUUGA
Pecten maximus is the source of this 1283-nucleotide long non-coding RNA. RefSeq lists it as uncharacterized. The record is from RefSeq and is a predicted model, not a curated record. Lineage: Eukaryota; Metazoa; Mollusca; Bivalvia; Pectinida; Pectinidae. The transcript has 2 exons.